CUACGGGGCGCUGCAGUGAGGAAUAUUGCACAAUGGGGGGAACCCUGAUGCAGCAACGCCGCGUGGAGGAUGACGCAUUUCGGUGUGUAAACUCCUUUUAUAUGUCAAGAAAAUGACGGUAGCAUAUGAAUAAGCACCGGCUAACUCCGUGCCAGGCAGCCGCGGUAAUACGGAGGGUGCAAGCGUUACUCGGAAUCACUGGGCGUAAAGGACGCGUAGGCGGGUUGGAAAGUCGGGUGUGAAAUCCUACAGCUUAACUGUAGAACUGCACUUGAAACUUCUAAUCUAGAGUAUGGGAGGGGGAGAUGGAAUUAGUGGUGUAGGGGUAAAAUCCGUAGAUAUCACUAGGAAUACCUAAAGCGAAGGCGAUCUCCUGGAACAUUACUGACGCUAAGGCGUGAAAGCGUGGGGAGCAAACAGGAUUAGAUACCCGCGUAGUC
Molecule: ribosomal RNA, 440 nt
Filed under: uncultured bacterium
Lineage: Bacteria
Description: partial 16S ribosomal RNA
Rfam family: Bacterial small subunit ribosomal RNA
Source: RNAcentral